CAAUAGCGUAUAUUAAAGUUGUUGCAGUUAGAACGCUCGUAGUCGGAUUUCGGGGCGGGCUGACCGGUCUGCCGAUGGGUAUGCACUGGUCGGCGCGUCCUUCCUUCCGGAGACCGUUCCUACUCUUAACUGAGCGGGGGCGGGAGACGGAUCGUUUACUUUGAAAAAAUCAGAGUGUUUCAAGCAGGCAGCUCGCUCUUGCAUGGAUUAGCAUGGGAUAAUGAAAUAGGACUUUGGUGCUAUUUUGUUGGUUUCGAACACCGAAGUAAUGAUUAAAAGGGGCAGUCAGGGGCACUCGUAUUCCGCCGAGAGAGGUGAAAUUCUCAGACCAGCGGAAGACGAACUACUGCGAAAGCAUUUGCCAGGGAUGUUUUCACUGA
RNAcentral lists this ribosomal RNA (380 nucleotides) under uncultured eukaryote. RNAcentral's name for it is "partial 18S ribosomal RNA". It matches the Rfam family "Eukaryotic small subunit ribosomal RNA", at positions 592 to 976 of the family's 1831-position model. The record is from RNAcentral.